Molecule: ribosomal RNA, 1029 nt
Filed under: Pestalotiopsis sp.
Lineage: Eukaryota; Fungi; Ascomycota; Sordariomycetes; Amphisphaeriales; Sporocadaceae
Description: partial large subunit ribosomal RNA
Rfam family: Eukaryotic large subunit ribosomal RNA
Source: RNAcentral
GUGAAGCGGCAACAGCUCAAAUUUGAAAUCUGGCCCUCGGGUCCGAAUUGUAAUUUGUAGAGGAUGAUUUUGGUGCGGUAUCUUCCGAGUUCCUUGGAACAGGACGCCUUAGAGGGUGAGAGCCCCGUACGGUUGAAUGCCUAGCCUCUGUAAAUCUCCUUCGACGAGUCGAGUAGUUUGGGAAUGCUGCUCUAAAUGGGAGGUAAAUUUCUUCUAAAGCUAAAUAUUGGCCAGAGACCGAUAGCGCACAAGUAGAGUGAUCGAAAGAUGAAAAGCACUUUGAAAAGAGGGUUAAAUAGCACGUGAAAUUGUUGAAAGGGAAGGAUUUGUGACCAGACUUUUUCUGGGCGGAUCAUCCGGGGUUCUCUCCGGUGCACUUUGCCCAGUAAAGGCCAGCAUCGAUUUUCGGCGGCGGAUAAAAGCAGUGGGAAUGUGGCUCCCUACGGGGAGUGUUAUAGCCCAUUGUAUAAUACGCUGCUGGGGAUCGAGGUACGCGCUUCUGCAAGGAUGCUGGCGUAAUGGUUAUCAAUCACCCGUCUUGAAACACGGACCAAGGAGUCGAACAUUUAUGCGAGUGUUUGGGUGUUAAACCCUCACGCGUAAUGAAAGUGAACGGAGGUGAGAGCCCGUACGGGUGCAUCAUCGACCGAUCCUGAAGUUUUCGGAUGGAUUUGAGUAAGAGCAUAACUGUUCGGACCCGAAAGAUGGUGAACUAUGCGUGGAUAGGGUGAAGCCAGAGGAAACUCUGGUGGAGGCUCGCAGCGGUUCUGACGUGCAAAUCGAUCGUCAAAUCUGCGCAUGGGGGCGAAAGACUAAUCGAACCAUCUACUAGCUGGUUACCGCCGAAGUUUCCCUCAUGAUACCACUGUUGUCUUCAGUUUUAUGAGGUAGAGCGAAUGAUUAGGGACUCGGCGGCGCUUUUUAGCCUUCAUCCAUUCUCAAACUUUAAAUAUGCAUUAAGCCCUUGUUACUUAAUUGAACGCGGCAUUCCAAUGGACCAACACUAUUGGGCCAUUUUUGGUAAGCAGA